Helianthus annuus (common sunflower) is the source of this 251-nucleotide long non-coding RNA. RefSeq lists it as uncharacterized. Lineage: Eukaryota; Viridiplantae; Streptophyta; Magnoliopsida; Asterales; Asteraceae. The record is from RefSeq and is a predicted model, not a curated record. The transcript is spliced from 3 exons.
UAGGCAACACGAGUGAGGCGUCGGGAAGUCAAGCCGGUGCGGACACUCGCUUAAAAGGGAAGCUUUGAGGCAACACGAGUGAGGCGUCGGGAAGUCAAGCCGGUGCGGACACUCGCUUAAAAGGGAAGCUUUGAGCUUCAAGUAUGCCAAGCAUGCGGAUGAUGAUCAAUUCAAGGCUCAUGAACCGAACACAUUCAAGAAAUUGUUCCGCAACUUUUGUCGUAGUUAACCAUUAAUGAAACCUUGUAAUA